Molecule: ribosomal RNA, 393 nt
Filed under: uncultured bacterium
Lineage: Bacteria
Description: partial 16S ribosomal RNA
Rfam family: Bacterial small subunit ribosomal RNA
Source: RNAcentral
AUACGGAGGAUGCAAGCGUUAUCCGGAUUUAUUGGGUUUAAAGGGUGCGUAGGCGGUUUGCUAAGCGGGAGGUGAUAUGCCGGCGCUCAACGUCGGAAGUGCCUCCCGAACUGGUGGACUGGAAUGACUCUGCCGUGGGAGGAAUGUGUAGUGUAGCGGUGAAAUGCUUAGAGAUUACACAGAACACCGAUUGCGAAGGCAUCUCACGAAGGGUUGAUUGACGCUGAGGCACGAAAGCGUGGGGAUCAAACAGGAUUAGAUACCCUGGUAGUCCACGCAGUAAACGAUGAUGGCUAACCGCUGGUUUAUUCGGAUCAGUGGCCAAGCGAAAGCGAUAAGCCAUCCACCUGGGGAGUACGACCGCAAGGUUGAAACUCAAAUGAAUUGGCGGGG